UAACGCGUGAGCAACCUGCCCCGAAGACCGGGAUAGCCCAGGGAAACUUGGAUUAAUACCGGAUAUCCUCCUUUGAUCGCAUGGUCGUUGGAAGAAAUGCUUUUACGCUUCGGGAUGGGCUCGCGGCCUAUCAGCUUGUUGGUGGGGUAACGGCCUACCAAGGCGUCGACGGGUAGCUGGUCUGAGAGGACGAUCAGCCACACUGGGACUGAGACACGGCCCAGACUCUACGGGA
RNAcentral lists this ribosomal RNA (235 nucleotides) under uncultured bacterium. Its description in RNAcentral is "partial 16S ribosomal RNA". It matches the Rfam family "Bacterial small subunit ribosomal RNA", at positions 111 to 346 of the family's 1533-position model. The record is from RNAcentral.